GACGAACGCUGGCGGCGUGCUUAACACAUGCAAGUCGAACGGAAAGGCCCUGCUUGCAGGGUACUCGCGUGGCGAACGGGUGAGUAACACGUGGGUGAUCUGCCCUGCACUUCGGGAUAAGCUUGGGCAACUGGGUCUAAUACCGGAUAGGAACCAUCUUUAGUGUGGUGGUUGGAAAGUUUUUUCGGUGUAGGAUGAGCUCGCGGCCUAUCAGCUUGUUGGUGGGGUAAUGGCCUACCAAGGCGGCGACGGGUAGCCGGCCUGAGAGGGUGUACGGCCACAUUGGGACUGAGAGACGGCCCAGACUCGGACGGGAGGCAGCAGGGGGGAAUAUUGCACAAUGGGCGCAAGCCUGAUGCAGCGACGCCGCGUGGGGGAUGAAGGCCUUCGGGUUGGAAACUCCUUUCGCUAGGGACGAAGCUUUUUUGUGACGGUACCUAGAGAAGAAGCACCGGCUAACUACGUG
Molecule: ribosomal RNA, 466 nt
Filed under: uncultured bacterium
Lineage: Bacteria
Description: partial 16S ribosomal RNA
Rfam family: Bacterial small subunit ribosomal RNA
Source: RNAcentral